This is a long non-coding RNA of Vidua macroura (Pin-tailed whydah), 2407 nucleotides long. RefSeq lists it as uncharacterized. The record is from RefSeq and is a predicted model, not a curated record. The transcript has 4 exons. Lineage: Eukaryota; Metazoa; Chordata; Aves; Passeriformes; Viduidae.
UUGCCAAUGCAGAGUUUGCAUUAAUGCAGCUAAUCCAGCAGCUGGGUAUGGGAGCCUGAACUCCUCCCUGCAGUAGCACUAAUGAAAAGGCAGCACAAGAGGGUAAGAGAAUCCUCACAGUUCUCCAGCCAGCUGAGUGCCAGCUCCCCUGAUCAGCCACAUUUUGGCUUUGAUUCUCUUCCUCGGGACUUUCUCUUUUCUCAAAAUGGUCAUGGAUGACUCUAUAUAACUAAGAGAUGUAUAGGAAAUUAAUACAGAGUGAAUGUGCAGGAAAUACAUUAAGCCUGCUUUUUUUCAAUUUCAAUAGAAAGGCUGAAGGAUGAGACCAAGAAGAAGCAACAGGAAAGCAAAAGCACAAAAAUAGAGUGGAAAGAGCUUGGAACUCAGAGUAACCUGUUAGGUUGGGUUUCAGCCCAGAUCACUCAUUGUUUCUUUGUGUUUCUCCUGCUUGUGAUCCUCUUGUUACAUGGCUCUCUCCUGCUUGGUGGGACUCAAAUAAAGAAAACUGGUACCCAAGUGCUGUGAGGCCUGGAAGAUUUAAGCCAGCUCUUGCUUAUGGAUGACUGGCCCAGCCUAAGAAGGGAAUAACAAAGCUGCUUGAAUGACAGCUUGGAUCAAGUUCAUAAUGACCUGGUUUGUACAGGCCAGGUGUUAUGUAGAUUGGAGCUUGUUAUUGUGAAAAAUUUUGGCAAGGCUUGCGAUGCAACAGCCAGUUCCAGCAGAGCUGGGCAGAAAGCCACAGACUACAGGCAGGUCCAUCUUCAGCAAGAUGGGCAAAGCAGCCACCCCCUCCUGUACUUGGUACCGUGGGGACCUGAACCAACCUGCCUGCACAGCAUCUGGAAUACAGCUUAUGCAGGAAUAGAGAGCAGUUUCAAAACAUGGCACUCCAGGCUUAAAAACAAAGAGGUGAUCUUGCAUAAAAACACAGUGCCAAGUUUUUGUCUGUUUCUUAGGGAGCAAAGAUUCAGAGCAAAACGGUACAAGCCACCCACUACAGUGUUAAUGGACAGUGAGCAAACUGGUACAGAAUGUCCCUAUCAAUAUAUUCUGCAUUUGUUAGGAAGUCUUUCUUAAUACUUCCAUAAUUCACUUUUUAUGUUAUCUAAAAGUAGUUACUAGAGUAAUGUGAAUGAAGACCUGUCGAAAUUAGGGCUCACCUAUGAUUUGUUCUCUCAGUCUUUAUCAUUAAUAUGCACACUAUGAUUUGUUACUGAAGCUAGUUGGACUUCAAUUUUAUUCUUUCUUUAGAUGGCCAUUUUUUUUCAAAAGAGGAAGAUUAAAAAAAAAACUUAGGGAAAGUGUCUCGGGUGUAAUUUUUGCAAUAAUAAUUAAUGUGGAACUCAAGAAAUAGGGACUCUUUUCAUCAAUACUCAGCAUUUAUUCCUAUGCCCCAAGUUAAUAGAAGGGACUUUACAAAUCAGAGCAAAGCCAGUUAGAUUAAUAGAUUGGGUUUCUAUUUUUCUUAUAUAGACUUAUAAGACUCUGUAAGUGUGGUCACAGUGAUGUUUUUACACUGUACCACAAAAGCUAGUAUAACUCAGGAGAAGAAAUCUGAACUCUGUGAUCUUUACCAGGAUGUUCAUAACUUAACCAAAUAAAUGACAGCUUUUUCCAUGUGGAAUGUUGUAUCAGUUUUCAUAUAGCACCAUGGAAAAGCAGCAGAAAGCCAAGCAGAUAAUGAAAGGCUGACACAAUGGGUUUGCAGCCCAAAGGCACAGCUUCAGUCACGCCUUGGGCUCUGCAGAUACACACCAGCACAGGAGGUUCCCAAAAAGGAUUUUGUCUCAAGGAGGUUGGAUCCUGUUGCAUUCUUCUGGGGAUCCACUGAAGAGAGGAAUGGUCCCUCCAAACAUGCCAGUGGUGAACAAGUCAUCUCCCACAAAGCCAUCCUAUGCACCACAUCCAGGAGGAGCAACAGGAUGGGGAAUAAUGGACCCAAAGCCUCCUAAAGGCAAAGAUCACGAGCUGCUGAAUGCCUUAAUAUUACUGACUGAUUAAGACUGUACCACGACAGUCCACAAACCAAGUGAAGGCCAAGGAGAUGGAAAAUCCCUCUGACCUAAUUGCAGGCUUCAGCAGGGGCAAAAGCUCGACAGUCACAUCCCAAUAAAACAAAAGCUGGCCAGAAAUGGACUUUCCCAGCUUGGCACUUGUCUUAGAAUCACACCCAAGAGACAACACUAUUUAUUUCUGUUCAUUUUCUUACAGUUUCUAGUUCGGCACUUUACUUGCAGGUAAAGUCACGUUGCGGGUGAUUCUUCUCUGAAGUACUUCUCUUGUAAAGUGAGCUUUACAAGUGAGUGAAGAUAUUAAAUAUUUGUCUACAGGAAAGAAAGGCUUUCACAAGUAAACCUAACUUACAGUAUAAUCUUCAUCCAAUAAAGCUGUAUUAGAUCAAACAGUA